RNAcentral lists this ribosomal RNA (367 nucleotides) under Lygodactylus tuberosus. RNAcentral's name for it is "partial 16S ribosomal RNA". It matches the Rfam family "Bacterial large subunit ribosomal RNA", at positions 2042 to 2597 of the family's 2925-position model. Lineage: Eukaryota; Metazoa; Chordata; Lepidosauria; Squamata; Gekkonidae. The record is from RNAcentral.
UUGAUAAUUCAGUACAAAUGCUGAAAUAUUAACACAAGACGAGAAGACCCUGUGGAACUUUUAACUAACCUGCCAGCAGUAAUCAACCAACCAACCACCCCUAGCAGACAGUUUAAGUUGGGGCAACUACGGAGCACAAUAAAACCUCCAUGAAACACGAAUACCAUUCGUUACCAAGGCCCACACGCCAACACAUUAAGCUUGACCCAGUAAAACUGAAUUUCGAACCAAGCUACCCCAGGGAUAACAGCGCAAUCCCCUUCAAGAGUCCCUAUCGCCAAGGGGGCUUACGACCUCGAUGUUGGAUCAGGACACCCCGGCGGUGCAGCCGCUGCCAAAGGCUCGUUUGUUCAACGAAUAAUGUCCU